CUGGCGGCAUGCCUAACACAUGCAAGUCGAGCGAGCUGAUCCCUUCGGGGUGAAGCUAGCGGCGGACGGGUGAGUAACACGUGGGCAACCUGCCUCAUAGAGGGGAAUAGCCUCCCGAAAGGGAGAUUAAUACCGCAUAAGAUUGUAGCUUCGCAUGAAGUAGCAAUUAAAGGAGCAAUCCGCUAUGAGAUGGGCCCGCGGCGCAUUAGCUAGUUGGUGAGGUAACGGCUCACCAAGGCGACGAUGCGUAGCCGACCUGAGAGGGUGAUCGGCCACAUUGGGACUGAGACACGGCCCAGACUCCUACGGGAGGCAGCAGUGGGGAAUAUUGCACAAUGGGGGAAACCCUGAUGCAGCAAUGCCGCGUGAGUGAUGACGGCCUUCGGGUUGUAAAGCUCUGUCUUCAGGGACGAUAAUGACGGUACCUGAGGAGGAAGCCACGGCUAACUACGUGCCAGCAGCCGCGGUAAUACGUAGGUGGCAAGCGUUGUCCGGAUUUACUGGGCGUAAGGGGAGCGUAGGCGGAUUUUUAAGUGAGAUGUGAAAUACCCGGGCUUAACUUGGGUGCUGCAUUUCAAACUGGAAGUCUAGAGUGCAGGAGAGGAGAAGGGAAUUCCUAGUGUAGCGGUGAAAUGCGUAGAGAUUAGGAAGAACACCAGUGGCGAAGGCGCUUCUCUGGAUUGUAACUGACCGCUGAGGCUCGAAAGCGUGGGGAGCAAACAGGAUUAGUAUACCUUGGUAGUGCACGCGGUAAACGAUGAAUAUUAGGGGUAGGGUGUUGUCAUGACCUCUGUUGCCGCCGUUAACGCAUUAAGUAUUCUACCUGGGGAGUACGGUCGCAAGGAUUAAAACUCAAAGGAAUUGACGGGGGCCCGCACAAGCAGCGGAGCAUGUGGUUUAAUUGGAAGCAACGCGAAGACCCUUACCUAGACUUGACAUCUCGUGCAUUACCCUUAAUCGGGGAAGUCGUUUAGGUGACAGGAAGACAGGUGGUGCAUGGUUGUCGUCAGCUUGUGUCGUGAGAUGAUGGGUUAAGUCCCGCAACGAGCGCAACCCUUAUUGUUAGUUGCUACCAUUUAGUUGAGCACUCUAGUGAGACUGCCCGGGUUAACCGGGAGGAAGGUGGGGAGGACGUUAAAUCAUCAUGCGCCUUAUGUUUAGGGCUACACACGUGCUACAAUGGCAAGUACAAAGAGAAGCAAGACCGCGAGGUGGAGCAAAACUCAAAAACUUGUCUCAGUUCGGAUUGUAGGCUGAAACUCGCGUACAUGAAGCUGGAGUUGCUAGUAAUCGAGAAUCAGCAUGUCGCGGUGAAUACGUUCCCGGGCCUUGUACACACCGCCCGUCACACCAUGAGAGUUGGCAAUACCCAAAGUUGGUGAUCUAACCUGUAAGGGAGGAAGCCACAUAAGGUAGGGUCAGCGAUUGGG
This 1430-nucleotide ribosomal RNA is filed under the name uncultured organism. RNAcentral's name for it is "SSU rRNA". It matches the Rfam family "Bacterial small subunit ribosomal RNA". The record is from RNAcentral.